GACGAACGCUGGCGGCGUGCUUAACACAUGCAAGUCGAGCGGUAAGGCCCUUUCGGGGGUACACGAGCGGCGAACGGGUGAGUAACACGUGGGUGACCUGCCCUCAGCUCUGGGAUAAGCCUGGGAAACUGGGUCUAAUACCGGAUAUGACUCCAUGACGCAUGUUGUGGGGUGGAAAGCCUUGUGCGGCUGGGGAUGGGCCCGCGGCCUAUCAGCUUGUUGGUGGGGUGANGGCCUACCAAGGCGACGACGGGUAGCCGGCCUGAGAGGGCGACCGGCCACACUGGGACUGAGACACGGCCCAGACUCCUACGGGAGGCAGCAGUGGGGAACCUUGCGCAAUGGGCGAAAGCCUGACGCAGCGACGCCGCGUGAGGGAUGACGGCCU
This 388-nucleotide ribosomal RNA is filed under the name uncultured bacterium. RNAcentral's name for it is "bacterial SSU rRNA". It matches the Rfam family "Bacterial small subunit ribosomal RNA", at positions 28 to 417 of the family's 1533-position model. The record is from RNAcentral.